AGCAGCCGCGGUAAUUCCAGCUCCAAUAGCGUAUAUUAAAGUUGUUGCAGUUAAAAAAGCUCGUAGUUGAAUUUCGGGGGUUAGUAGGCUGGUCGUGCCACAGGUAUGCACUGGUCUUACUGACUUCUCCUUUCUGAAGAACUGUAAUGCCAUUAAUUUGGUGUUGCAGGGAAACAGGACUGUUACUUUGAAAAAAUUAGAGUGUUUAAAGCAGGCUAACGCUUGAAUACAUUAGCAUGGAAUAAUGAAAUAGGACGUUCGAUCCUAUUUUGUUGGUUUCUAGGAUUGACGUAAUGAUUAAUAGGGAUAGUUGGGGGCAUUAGUAUUCAAUUGUCAGAGGUGAAAUUCUUGGAUUUAUUGAAGACUAACUACUGCGAAAGCAUUUGCCAAGGAUGUUUUCAUUAAUCAAGAACGAAAGUUAGGGGAUCGAAGACGAUCAGAUGCCGUCGU
RNAcentral lists this ribosomal RNA (450 nucleotides) under uncultured Glomeromycotina. Its description in RNAcentral is "SSU rRNA". It matches the Rfam family "Eukaryotic small subunit ribosomal RNA", at positions 569 to 1021 of the family's 1831-position model. Lineage: Eukaryota; Fungi; Glomeromycota. The record is from RNAcentral.